CUCACCUACGGGAGGCAGCAGUGGGGGAUAUUGGACAAUGGGGGAAACCCUGAUCCAGCGAUGCCGCGUGAGGGAAGAAGGUUUUCGGAUUGUAAACCUCUGUGGAGGGGGACGAUAAUGACGGUACCCCUUUAGGAAGCCACGGCUAACUACGUGCCAGCAGCCGCGGUAAUACGUAGGGAGCGAGCGUUGUCCGGAUUUACUGGGUGUAAAGGGUGCGUAGGCGGCUUGGCA
This 234-nucleotide ribosomal RNA is filed under the name uncultured bacterium. Its description in RNAcentral is "partial 16S ribosomal RNA". It matches the Rfam family "Bacterial small subunit ribosomal RNA", at positions 334 to 585 of the family's 1533-position model. The record is from RNAcentral.